Molecule: long non-coding RNA, 2394 nt
Organism: Brienomyrus brachyistius
Lineage: Eukaryota; Metazoa; Chordata; Actinopteri; Osteoglossiformes; Mormyridae
Exons: 3
Source: RefSeq, a predicted model, not a curated record
CAAUGGAAGAGACAGCGGUACGCCCACGCAGCCGGCUGGGACGGAAAGUACCCUCUCUGCCACUCCGAAAGACGGCGCGGACGUAAAUCCUUCGGCUAUACUAGGCGAGAGUCCAUAUUUUCUCUAAAUGUGUUUCUCUUCUAUUUCCCGUCAAAGAGAGAGAGAGAGAGAGAGAGAGAGAGAUUUUCAGGUCUCCUUUAUUGGCGGUGGGAGGGAAGCAGACUGAGAUAUCUCAAAAAAUACCCAGCUAUUUAUCUUCUGAUGCAUAACAGGUUCUAGGGGUGCAGCUGGUAGAUCUUGGCCAUGGAGACAGCUUGUUGUUCCAGGAGACCACACCCUCCUGUCCUUCCAUCUCUUCAUCGCUGGGGUCUGUCAGGAGUGGAACACACAGUCCCAUUGGCCACUGAUAUCGUCAUAGAAAGACUUCAGCUCAGCACAGCCGAAACCCUCCUAGAUGUUUUGCCGCUUCCUGCUUGUGGGAGUUUGUGAUCCCAGCAGUGGCACCCAUGGAAACAGCCCGCAGCAAUGUGACCAGAGGGAGGACAGCGCGGCUCCCGCUAGGCCUGUUAGGGACGGAGAUCUCCGCCUGCUCUGUCACUCCUGCAGCUCUGGAGAUUCCACCGGUCUCCAUGGUGACCCGCUGGGAUUCCAGAUUCCUCCAGCUGUGCUGAUGGAUUUUCUACGUUCUCCCGUUUUGCAGUGUCCAUAGUGUUUGUCCAGCCCAUUGACUUUCUGUCGCUGAGCAGUGAUUUAUCCUUUACAAUUACAUCUUUAAACGAGUCUGACAGCACUACAGUCAGCCACAAUCAGACUCUCAGAGCACAGCGACACCCAAAGUACCAUCUCACUUUCGCAAGAGCAUUCAAAUCGUUUGGGUUGUUUGGUAAUUGUGUUAGACCAUAAUAAAGUCAGGUGGCUGUCUAUAGAGAGCGUUAGAUGACAGUAUCAUUUCUGUCCCUCAUCUGGGAUGCUGACUCCCCCUGGGAAGGGACGGAUUAUGGGUUGUGUGGGCCCCUGGGCAAAAAGUUCGCGAGCCCCCCCCCCCCCACCACCACCACCACAACCACCACAAUUCAAGGGCCCUUGGCAGCCAAACACCCUCCCUAUAGGGUCAGGGGCCCUUGUAGGCAGAGGAUCAAAGAAUGUAGGCCCUCUAAAAUAGACAACCCUAACCCUAACCCUCUAAAAUAGACAAACGAAAAUACAUUGUUGAUAAGCGUUGCAAAUUGUUUUGGGCUAGGGGCCCCACGGGCCCCCUGCACCCCAAGGGCCCCUGGCCAGCGGCCUAGCUGGCCCGGUCCGAAAUCCGUCCCUGCCCCUGGGACCAGCUUCUUCCACUGCUGUUCCAUAGCCACUCAGGCAGCCUACUGAAUAACGCAAUCAAAUUUAAAAUGACUAAUGCUGAUCCUCACACUGAAAUGUCCGUAAUCCCCGUCUGUGUUUUUAUUUUAACUGCUUUUCGCGAUCAAACUAUCAUAACCUUCUCCGCGACUUGAUAGCGGCUGAUUUAAGUGGGUUUGUAACAGGUAGCGAUCCCAUCUGAUUAUCUCUUUAUCCUCUCUUAACCCUGAAAGAAAGGAGAACAAAGGGAGCCGGAGAACUUUGGCCGAUGUUAAUUUACGCUUCUCUUAGGAAACGCGGCCGGUGUGAGUGGCACGCAUUACCGCGUUAAUGAGAGCGCACCUGAAGUCUCAGAGCUAGUCCAGCCUUGUAUUUAUCGCCGAGCUAUUAUGUAGAAAUACUGCAGAAGUAAAAGCUCUUAUAGAAUUGAAACCGCUGCGGCGCGCAUCUGUCACGGCUCUCCGCCUCAUGAUGUAUUCUUGUUAAGCCUCCUUAGUGAACGUUACUUCGCCUGGUAAAGACUGGCGAUUUACUACCUGACUGGAUCACGCCUUCUGCACAACCCCACCACUUACCAUCUCACAGUUGUGCAGUCACAGAAAUAAACUAUGACCUAUUUGUCUAUAUAAGUAGUUUAUUUGUAUAACUUCACCUGUCUCCGUGCCCGAGUCUUUCAGUAGCUCACGCUGUCCCGGCUGUUUACCUAGAGACGUGACAUUAACCCUUAACACACAUAUCUUUAGGUCUUUUGUCUCGCUUUUAUGUAGUUCUGCCUCGCGUUCUGGUUCACCCUCUCCUACCACUAACACAGAAACAGCUAGCUCUGGUUGACAUCAAUCAGCAAUCAUGGAAUAAAGAGAUAAAAAAACAAAGUGACCAAUGUGUACUGUAUGAAGUUUAUGUCGUUUAGGCUGAGCUUUUAUCCGGACGAUCCAGGGGAAGGAAAAUCCGGUAACGGUAACAUAUACGCCCUCCCGAGGCCUAUAGGCCAUUCAAAGACGCGAUCUAUCCGAAUCGCCUGUUUUUGGAUUAGGGGAGGAGUCCCACGCGACA